Molecule: long non-coding RNA, 615 nt
Organism: Vigna angularis (adzuki bean)
Lineage: Eukaryota; Viridiplantae; Streptophyta; Magnoliopsida; Fabales; Fabaceae
Exons: 2
Source: RefSeq, a predicted model, not a curated record
UGCCACUCCGUGAACAUUAUUGUAGUUCACAUGCCACCAUUACAUUUUUAUGAUUAUCUUCUCUUCACGGGGGAUCAAUGUUUGGUGGUGGGAUCAUGUGCAAAAGAAUUUAAAAAGAGAAGGAGGCUAGGGAGAAGGGGGCUGCCGCGAAGAAGAAAGGGAGGAGGAAGCUCUGAACACAUCACAACAGUAAGAAGAAGAGAUACAAGAUCAAAUUUUUUUUAAAAAGCUACGGAGAGGGAGACGAGCGUUUAGAAGAGUUGCUGGAAGAGGAGAACCUAAUUAAUGUUGAAGUGAAGACCGAGCAGUGAGACCGCUCGGCCAGUAGUGUGAUUGUUGAACUGAGUGGUCGUUCGAUCACCUCUUGUUUUCGUUAAGUUUAAAUUCGACCGUUCGGUAAUUGUUUCUGUAAACCGUUCGGUCAGAUUUUUCUUGUACGUUCGGUUUUAAUUGUAAACUCUUGUGUGGACGUGCAGUUGUGCACGUUCGUCCCUUAAUGUUGUACUGUACUCAAGGACGUUCGUCCUUGGUCAUUCGUUCGUUUUUAAUUUUUAGUGGAAAAACUGUACUGAAUUAUUAUUAAAUGUGAUUUCUGAAUUUAUAGUUAUGACUGUA